Molecule: long non-coding RNA, 3286 nt
Organism: Triplophysa rosa
Lineage: Eukaryota; Metazoa; Chordata; Actinopteri; Cypriniformes; Nemacheilidae
Exons: 3
Source: RefSeq, a predicted model, not a curated record
CUGUUGUUGAUCGCGGAAUGGGACCGGGUUGGACCUGCACGGUUUCGGCGGGUGGGGCUUCCUGGGUCGCGGCUCGUGGGCUCUCCCUGUUCUUCGUGGAUGUUGCUCGGUGGCUUUGGUCGGGGUCACUGAGUGCAGCUAUGACACGUCAGAGGAGAUCUGGCCCUCCCGGCUGAGCCUGGUUUCUCCCAAGGUUUUUUUUCUGCAUUUAUUCAUCAUUGGAGUUUUGGUUCCUCGCCACAGCAGUGCAGUGUUGGCUUGCUCACCGGGAGACUGCAUUUAUUUAUUUAUUCAUUUAUUUAUUAGAUAUUAUUUAUUAUAACGAUCUUGCUUGGUCUAUAAACACCAUGCACUGUGCUGUGUUUUACCUUUCUGUGUUUUUCUUAUUUGCUCCUGUAAAGCUGCUUUGGAACAAUGCACAUUGUGAAAAGCGCUAUAUAAAUAAAAUUGAAUUGACUUAAUUUAAUAAUAUAUUCUUAUGUUUACCAUGAUUUUUAGGCACACAGUGUUAAGCAGCACAUAACAUUUGCAAUAUGAAGAGUUUAUGGUUGCUACUUUUUAAUUUAAAUGUUUGUUUAUUGGACAAAUCCACUAUUGUAAUCCACUUCAAUCGCACUUUGAAAAAGAAACACGGCGCGAACGUCACUACGGCAAGCAGCAGGUGUCCGACAUUAUUCCAGGUUUCCGACUUGACUGCUCCUUUUUCAACUCCUCCCUCUACUGCAAGCGGCUAAUCUUGCCGAUCGGUCUGCGCUGCGCUGCAUGAUCUCGAACACACCCAUAGACUCCGGGGCGGAUCCGCCUUCAAGUCACCUAGUCCGCUGCACUCUCAGAUUCAAUUCGGCCACACGCACAGAAUAUGCCCCGCCUCCGCACAAUGCACUGUCAACUUGCAGAUUCGCAACUGACGCUGGGCCGCCUUUUUUAAACCGUCACAGUCACUUAAUCCAUCUCCUCACACAGUGGAAACACUGGAGCUGGCAGGUCAGUGAGGACGGAACACGGUAAGAAUAGUUAAAAUAUGCUUUAUUUGUACAGUUACGUAGCCAGUAACAUUACCGUUGAUUGCUUUGCUUGAUGUUUUUAAUUCUGAAGUGAUUUUUGCAAGCCAAGUUUCAUCACAUUGUCAUUAGCAUUGAGUAAAAUUGAUUUGGUAAAUAACUUUUUGAGUAAAAGCUUUUUGGACGGAAUGUCUUUAUCUUUCUAGGAGGUGAUUCAAUCGGAUUUUAAUCCAAUCCUGAGCGUAUAUUUUCUCCCCUUUCCAGUAAAAUAGCAGGCGAGAUAAACUGAUGUUAGGCCUAACGUUACCUGUUUUUUUUACACUGAACUUCUGGUAUAGUUUGAGUCUUUUGUUAAUAUUUUGACAUAUACAGUAUUCUCCACCUCCCCAUCUAAUGUUGUUUCAGAUAAUUUUCAUAUCAUAUUAAAUCAUAUUAAGAUACUGUGCGUGUGUGUGUUCUGUUGUGUGUGUGCUAUUUUGCAGUUUACAGCUCAUUCAAGUGCCACUGGUCUUGCAGUAUUUCAUCUUUUCCAAACAACCGAGUAAACUUACAGCUCAUUCAAAUGCCACUUGUCUGUUUUUGGAGAAUUUCAUCUUUAAGGUGCUGUGAGAAAGAGCCAUGUCUCCUGUGCCGCCACUGAUGAUGACAUUACAAAACACGUAAUACGGUGGUUCAACUUGGCAGCAGAUAGGGGAAACUCAAGGAGCCGUCCCACUGUCAGCACCAACAGUAGCGUUUCGGUGUUUCACUGUUAAGUGUUUGUUUAACAGUUAAGUAGUAACAGUUGAGAUAAAGUUUACUACUUUAAAUAGUUAAUGUUUUAUUUAUUUAUUUUUGUUUCUAUUCAUCUUCAAAAAACCCAGUUUCCACACAAAACAAUACGCAGUAUUGACAUUAAUAAGAAAAAAUGUUUCUUGAGCUACAUUAAAAAAGUGUUCUUUUUCAUUAAAUAAAAAAAUGUUCUUUGGACAAUUUAUGGUUGAUUUCAUUUUCUGUAAUACCUAUUAAUUGUAUACAUAAAUAAUUGUUACUGGCUAAAAUGGGUGAAUUUAAAUUUACAAGUUUUGAAUGAUUUCAUCAUGUUUUAUUAAUAAAGGCAGGCAUAUUAAAUAUUAUAGAGCAAUCCACUCUAUCCAAUGUCGGUCCAUUAGAUUUGAAAUAUCUCUUUAGCUAGUUUUAGCCAGAAUACUAGUUUUAAAUGAGGGAUCUGAAAGGUAUCCAGACAGAAUGACCAGAUCGGACCUGUGGCGGAUCAGCUGCUUUAUAAACGGGUCCAAAUUGGAUCCGUGGCGGAUCAGCUUCUUUAUAAACGGGUCCUGCUCGGAUCCAUGGCGGAUCAGCUUCUUUAUAAACGGGUCCUGCUCGGAUCCGUGGCGGAUCAGCUUCUUUAUAAACGGGUCCUGAUCGGAUCCGUGGCGGAUCAGCUUCUUUAUAAACGGGUCCUGAUCGGAUCCGUGGCGGAUCAGCUGCUUUAUCAGUGGAGACAGGGCGGUCUGCCCCAGAUCUGGUCCGGAUCCGCAAUCCUUAUUUGUUCUUGGUCCGCUUCGCUGUGCAAGUGGACUCCGUUCCUGACCCGUUUUGUGCAUCGUUCCGGAGCUUGUGAUAAUUCCGGGGCGGAUCCGUUCCAGAGUCAGUUUGAUAUCUGGGACGGCGGUAGUAAGCAAAGCAACGACACUGUGUUUAAACUUAAUAAGACAAUAUUAAUCAAUUACACUUAUGCGCUUCUGUUGACUUCUGCAAAAUGCUUCUCCCCGUUCCCCUUUCUCCCUCUUUACGUUAUAUGUUGAGCUGUUUUUCGUUGUUCUCACGGCAUGAUUGAACACUACCCACUGCGUCAGCGGAAAUUAUGCAUUUUGACCAAGCAUAGAACCGUUUCUGAUGGCUUCCGCUUGCGCGGCAUGCUAUGGGCUUAAUGCUCGUGCUUGCGGCUACGCUGAUUGGUUGAGGGGUUUUCCUUCACACUUGCCUUGUGAUUAUGUUGGGAGAGCGCUGGGUUCCGCUCUUUGCUGCUCUCACGGCGUGAUUUUAUAUGGUUCCCCAUAGCGCUCCACGCAAGGUUGAGAGACCUCUCUCGAAAGGGAACGUCUCCGGUUACUGUCAUAACCUCGGUUCCCUGAGAGGAGGGAACGAAACAUUGCAUAAACUGCCGUGUUCGCGUGCUCAGAUCGUCGCGCUGUAAUGUUCAGUCGAAAGAUUCUGAGGGUAUGCUGUCCAGACGGUGUACUAUAUAGGGGUGGUGAAUAGUAAAUACGAUACACCGAAUGUCAAAAACGUGAUUUAUUACC